This is a long non-coding RNA of Oncorhynchus tshawytscha (Chinook salmon), 310 nucleotides long. Lineage: Eukaryota; Metazoa; Chordata; Actinopteri; Salmoniformes; Salmonidae. The record is from Ensembl.
UGUGGGGGAGCUUUGCUACAGGAGGGACUGGUGCACUUCACAAAAUAGAUGGCAUCAUGAGGUGCAGGGUAGAGUACCCGGUGGUAGCCGGCUAGUAACGGUUUCUAAGGUUCAGGGCUGGGCGGAGGCCGGCUAGUAACGGUUUCUAAGGUUCAGGGCUGGGCGGAGGCCGGCUAGUAACGGUUUCUAAGGUUCAGGGCUGGGCGGAGGCCGGCUAGUAACGGUUUCUAAGGUUCAGGGCUGGGCGGAGGCCGGCUAGUAACGGUUUCUAAGGUUCAGGGCUGGGCGGAGGCCGGCUAGUAACGGUUUC